This is a long non-coding RNA of Onychostoma macrolepis, 5868 nucleotides long. RefSeq lists it as uncharacterized. Lineage: Eukaryota; Metazoa; Chordata; Actinopteri; Cypriniformes; Cyprinidae. The record is from RefSeq and is a predicted model, not a curated record. The transcript has 6 exons.
GCAAUGAGCGUAGUCCAAAGGUCUUUCGCUUCCAUUUUGGCCUGAUAAUAACAGAGUCAAACUCUUACUCAUUUGAAUUUGAUUAUGUUGUGUGUGUGUGUUUGAAUAUGAGCAUACAAAUACUAGUCAAGUCACUGUUAUUUUUAUAGCGCUUUUAACAAUGCAAACUGUGUCAAAGCAGCCUUACAUCAGCUUGAUAUAAAGCUGGGUGGCCUUACAGUAUUUAGACGGGGAAAUAGUGUGUCGAAAUAGUGUCAUGGGUGCUAAAUAGGAAAACGAUCUGCCGCCCACAGUUGAUUUUGAUAUUCUAGGUAUUAUCAAAUGGCCAGUUUUGAGAUCACAGCGGACGUGAAGGACUAUAAUGUGAUAAGAGCUCACUAAAAUACUGAGGUGCCAAACCAUUCAUGGCCUUAUAGGUAAUUAGCAAGAUCUUGAAAUGUAUACAAUAUUUAAUAGGGAGCCAGUGCAUUGUUGACAGAACCGGGCUAAUGUGGUCAUACUUCCUGGUUCUUGUAAGAACUCUAGCUGCUGCAUUUUGAACCAGCUGGAGUUUGUUUAUUAAACACGCUGAGCAACCACCCAAUAAAGCAUUACUAUAAUCUAGCCUUGAGGUCAUUUGUGUUAAACAACACGUGUCAGGACCUACUCAUUGUCGUAUUAAUUAAUGUUUUUUUUUUGUUUGUUUGUUUUUACUUCCUUUUAUGUAAAGCACUUUAAAUUACCACUACUGACAUCAAUUCCAUGCGACAGUAUUAAAUCUAGAGUAUGAUUUCGACAAUGAGUAGGUCCUGACACGUGUUGUUUAACACAAAUAGAGUUUAGAAUAUCUAUAAAUGCUGAUCCCAACAAAUCUUUUUCAUUAUCAACACACACAAAUAGGUAUUUUCUCAAAUGAUAUAAGUGACCAUUGUGCUGUUGGUAUGAUUAGAAAUUGCAAACUUAAAAAAACAGUGCCACGAAUUGUGGAGAAAAGGUAUUUCAAGUCAUUCAAUCAGCAAGCUUUUAUCCAUGAUAUUUUUCAUUUUGAGUGGAAAAAGGUCUGUUUAAUUCCUGAUGUUGAAUUGGCGUGGUCAUAUUUUAAGGAUUCAUUCAUGAGUAUUUUAAAUAAACAUGCACCCUUGAGAAGGUUCAAAGUAAAGGGGAGGAAUAAUCCCUGGUUUUCUGAUGCAUUAUCCCACUCUCUUGCAUGAACGGGAUUUGGCCUGGGCAAAGGCAAGGAAAUCUGGGCAAGAAAAUGAUUGGGUCAAUUUCAGAUAUUUAAGAAAUAAAUAGACUACACAAAUACGUAAAGCUAAGUCACAGUUCUACCUUGAUGAGACAACAAGAAAUUUUAAAAACCCAGCUAAAUUUUGGAAAAUUAUCAACUCAAUGAAAACAGUACAAAACUCUUCAUUUUCGGCUCUUCCUAAACUUGUAAAUGUUAAUAAUGUGCAAAUUACUGAUAAAAAAGAUCUAGUUGAUUUCUUUGAUAAUCACUUUGCCUUUACUCUCUUUAUCACUUUAAGUCAGAGCUAGAACAUCUUUCACCUCCAGGGUUAUUUCACCCCAAUGCUUGGGGCUCGAACUUCUUUACUUUUGAGCCAAUCUCAAGGGAAAAGGUCUUAUUCGCGUUGCGAAACAUAAAUUGUAAAAAGUCAGCUGGGCCUGAUGGGCUUGACCCUUCCCUUCUGAAACUUGUGGCUAACAUUAUUGUUGAACCAAUAACUUAUAUUUUUAAUUUAUCUUUGGAACAAAAUAUGAUACCCCGAUCUUGGAAGACAGCGCAUGUAACAUGGUUAGUGAUCAGUUAAAGGACUUCUUAACAGUAAAUAAUAGUCUAUUCCUUCUCAAUCAGAUUUCAGGAAAGGGUAUAGCACCAUCACAGCAGCCACUAAGGUAGUUGAUGAUAUUGUUAGUGCUAUUGACUGUAAAGAAUCUUGUGCAACAUUAUUUGUUGAUCUUUCAAAAGCCUUUGAUACGGUUGAUCACACCAUUUUGUUAAAAUGUCUGUCUAAAAUUGUGAUGUCUGUUAAUGUCAUUGAAUGGUUUUAAAACUAUCUGUCUAGUGGAUAUCAGUGUGUUACUUGUGUAGGCAUUAGGCCCUUUCGCACCGCAGGAACCUUUUCAUAGUACCCGAACUAAUUAUGGAACUACCCACUUUUUGGCGUGUUCGCACCGCGGGAACUAGGAACUGUUUUAGUUCCCGGAACUCCGUUUGGAGGACCAUAUGCACGGAGCGCUUUUUAGAACUUCCGGAUAAAGAUAAGCCAGUAAUCUUCCGGUGAGGCUCAUUUUAUAUGUGCUAUAUAUAGGUAGAGACUCUCACAGAAACCUCUCCUGCCUCAUUCUUAUCAGAAUCUGAGAAAAAAAUUAUUGCAACACCGUAAAUAAUGACAGCCGCAUUAACAUACAGUUUCAUGUUAUUAAGGAACAUAUAAUUUUAUAUGCAGAGUCUUGUAAUCCCAGGAAAGUACCCAGAUGCAUAACUGUACAUUUAAAUGCUGACAAAUAAACACUAUUGUAACUGUUUAGGCAGUUAGGCUAAUCUCUUCAACAACGUCUUAAUGGUAUUCUUGAUAAUCAAUAUCGUACCUUCAUAGCCAUGAACACAUUUUUAAAAUCUUAUAACAUUUUAAAGCCUUUAUUAUUUCUCAACUCUGUGUGGUAAAAUUCCCAGUAUUAAAGGUUCACUUUUCAUUCAUGAAGACGAGAUGAAGAAAUGUGCCGAUAACGUGUUGUUGUGUCUGAAUAAUUGUGCUACUUUGAAGGCCUCCCCUAGAUGGCACUGUUGAGGUACUUGUUCGAGGGUGGAAGAGUAAGAAGGAAAGGGGAAGUUAAGUAAACAAAGUGCGGUUCAAUACUGCUUGUUUUUCUGCUUCUUUAUUAUAUUGAUUCCCAACAUAACACGUGUCUCGGCGAAAAAUAAAGACUUUUUAAGAAGAAAAUGAAAUUACCGUUAUAAUCGGGAGAUGGCAGUAUAGGAUCACUCAUUGGUUGCAGCCGCCGUUUCAACUGCCUAGUUUUUUCACGUCUUCUGAUUUAUUAUAAAAUAAAUAUUACAACAAAUUUAGUAGCCUACUUUAUGGCACUGAAGUAUAAAGUAUAGCAAGUGCAGGAAGUCACAAAGUCACUUCCCAGAUAGCAAACUGACAUAGAAUCAACGUCGAUUUUUGGUUGUAACGGUCAGUAUCGAUCGUCAAUCAAAUUUCGAUGUUGAAUCAACGUUCAUUAUUUGGUCGGUACAUCAGAACGUUAUUACGUCGAAAAUAAAACAUCGAUUCAACGUCGAAACCACGUUGGCUUAUCAACCGACACAGCCGACUCAUCUGAUCGAAAUCAUAACGUCUGAUACAGGUUGAAAAUUGGUCAGAGGAAUCGGAGAUCUGCGCCUGCACUCUCACAGAGUGGAACAGGCCUGAAACUGUACCCGGGCAACUAAAUAGUUUUAUUCGUUAUUUUAUAUUUAUCCGUCUGUCUCUAAAUAUUAGCGGAAGAUGAAAGCUUUAAAAACAAUGAAUGACAAAACAUUUUAACUCGAGCUUUGUCGAAUGUUUUGUUAUUUUUUUCUGCAGACAUUUUUUACACCGCUGGCAUGUAUAGGAUAGGCAUUAUCAUUUUAAAACUCAAAUAGCUUCAGUUUGAAGUUAUAACUGCAUCUGUCUCGGGUGUAGACUGGUGAAUUAUGUUAAUAAACCUAUGUGUUCUAGUAGGCCUAAUGGCCCAUAUUCAGAUGUUUGUGUGGAGUGUGGAAUGCAGGACGGGGCGGCCGCGAGAUCACUUGCAUUUUUUUUUUUCCUAAUAAUGAAACGACAUCGGUUCGAAACUCAUAAUAGGCCCAACUCAUAUUAAUAAAUAAUUAAAAUUACUACUUUUUUCCCGACACAUUCAUAAUCAUUUGGCGACUUUUUCCUGUGCUUUGUGGCAAACUUUAUGCGUGUGCUUGAGCGCGGAAUUAAGGCUCACUGUGGAUUAUAAACUUUGGAUAAACAUGCGAUUAGGCCUAGUUGGCUUAAAUGAACGACUAGUUAAAUUGUUGGGGGCAGCUCUAUUAAAUAGCUACCCGUCUCCGCUCUUAGAACUGUCAAGUCCAUAACGGAGAGAUCACGUUGACUAGGCUACAUUGAUUUUCCCUCUGAAACACACACACACACACACACAAAAAAAAAAUGUAUGAAUAGACAACCUUUCUACAUCCGGCAGAUAUUGCUGCUUAUGGCUUGUGCAUUGUAAAUCGUACAAAAUAGCCUAUGUUAUCUCCCCAAAAACUCGUAUAUAAAUAAGUAAUAUAAAACACGUUUAUAGACUGAUUCUUUUUUGAAGUCUAGACUCUAUUUUAGGGAAUUUAGAAAAAUAUAAAGAGAUGGUUCAACACAGGUCUAAUAGCCUAUUUAUAUGAGAAUUUAUGUUUUGGCUGCGAAUGUCACGUCAAUAAAGCGGGAAUUGCUCUAAUGUGAUGCUGGUCUUUGAAAUACAGGUACUUCCUUUUUUUGUCCAAAGUUGUGAUGCUAGUUUUUGAAACACUGUAUUUUUUUUAUUUAUUUUUUUUUGCAAUUUCAAAACUGUUUUUGUGAACGUUCAUAAAAUAUUGCUUCACAUUUUCAUUCAUUUACUGUUUUUUUUUUUUUUGUUGUUAUUUAUUUAUUAUAAAGAAUCUAGUUAGGUGUGUUGAUCUGGCCCUCUUAACUGACCAAGUUUCUCUUGGACCCUUAGAGAAAUUAAUUGCCCACCCCUGGUCUACAUGCAAGCAGGCUUUCUAAUAAAAUAAGGUGGUUGAGUGUUCAUUAAAAAAUAAAUAUAUAUAUUAUAAAUAUAAAUAUAAAUAUAAAUAUAUAUUUUAUAUAUAUAAAAGUGCUGCUUUAUCCGACAAUAACGUGCAGAGUGUCAUAGAACUACAUUUAAAUAAAUUAAAUGUAUGAUUUAAUAAUAAUUUAAUUAGAUUUAAGUUAUUUAUUUAUGCAAUGUUCUAAUUUUAUAUGAUUAUUUAUGUAAAUUCUGCGUGACUGUGACGUGUUUUAAUGCGUGCGUGCUGAACGUUCGAGCCGCGUUGGUUCAAACACUGGAGCGGAGGGAGUUGCCAUGGAAACGGAGCGGCAACACAACGACUGACAAGCAGGAAGCCCCGAUUCUCGCUGCUGUUUUUACUGUUUUCGAAGAAAAACAAAAGCACGGCAAGAUGGGAGGCUCCAAGAUUUCACAAUUUCUGAAGGGAGCCGCAGAUGGAGAAGUAAGGAACACAAGUGAACAGACUCAGAGCGGACCUCCUGUCGGACAACAUCUCCCAGGCACAAUGAACAAUAUGGUUGGUUACUAGAGAUUACACCAGUUCCAGUUUGGAUCCAGCCUGGCGUGUGAAGACGCCAACACUCAAAGACUUCAGAUGAUGGCAACUAGAUGAACAUACAAAGCUGCCAAAUAAUCCUUAUAUUGUAAUCAUUGCCCUAAAAGGGAGAAACUUGUCAACAAAUCUACCUCACAGCGCAUCAAUGAAAGCAGUUUGGCAAUUACAGACGGGCGUGUUGGAUCAGGGUUAGAUCUGAAUUCUGCAGGUUUUCUGGAUUCCCAGUUGAAGACAUCAGUACAUCAGAUGUUGGCCUGGACAGCUGUAUCUACAGUACACCACACUGACCUCUGCUUUUGCAUAGAUGGCUGACUACUACCAUAGUAUUAUUGGUAUUAUGUUCUAAGGCAGAGGUACUCAAGUUCAGAGGCCAAGCGGGCCGCAUUUAAACUACAUAUUGCUAUAAUAUAAAGCACAAAUUACAAUUUGCAUCAUCAGACUUUAUUUAAGACAAUAUUUGCAGAUUUACUGAUUUAGAAAUACAGUUUAUUACUUAUCUAAGUCUUGCUUGUCCUUGUCCUAUUUAAAAUAAGACUGAGCAUGAAAUAAAU